RNAcentral lists this non-coding RNA (25 nucleotides) under Rattus norvegicus (Norway rat). Lineage: Eukaryota; Metazoa; Chordata; Mammalia; Rodentia; Muridae. The record is from RNAcentral.
UCUUCUAGGGCCUUCUCCAUUGAGC